GACGAACGCUGGCGGCGCGCCUAACACAUGCAAGUCGAACGGAGCGUACUUGGUGAAGCCCUUCGGGGCCAAACGAGGUAUUGCUUAGUGGCGAACGGGUGAGUAACACGUGAGCAACCUGCCCUAAAGUGGGGGACAACAUCUGGAAACGGAUGCUAAUACCGCAUAAGACCACGGUGCCGAGUGGCACUGAGGCCAAAGGAUUUAUUCGCUUUAGGAUGGGCUCGCGGCUGAUUAGCUAGAUGGUAGGGUAACGGCCUACCAUGGCGACGAUCAGUAGCCGGACUGAGAGGUCGAACGGCCACAUUGGGACUGAGACACGGCCCAGACUCCUACGGGAGGCAGCAGUGGGGAAUAUUGGGCAAUGGGCGAAAGCCUGACCCAGCGACGCCGCGUGGAGGAAGAAGGUUUUCGGAUUGUAAACUCCUGUCUUCGGGGAAGAAAAAAAUGACGGUACCCGAGGAGGAAGCCACGGCUAACUACGUGCCAGCAGCCGCGUAACAC
This 504-nucleotide ribosomal RNA is filed under the name uncultured bacterium. RNAcentral describes it as "bacterial SSU rRNA". It matches the Rfam family "Bacterial small subunit ribosomal RNA", at positions 28 to 526 of the family's 1533-position model. The record is from RNAcentral.